Bubalus bubalis (water buffalo) is the source of this 2153-nucleotide long non-coding RNA. RefSeq lists it as uncharacterized. The record is from RefSeq and is a predicted model, not a curated record. Lineage: Eukaryota; Metazoa; Chordata; Mammalia; Artiodactyla; Bovidae. The transcript is spliced from 4 exons.
GAACAGCCAUGGGCUUUGGACAUGAUGCAGAGCUGAGAAAAAAAGACAAUUGCCUACAUAGAAUCCAGAGUUUCAUCUUCCACUCAAUUCAGUAACUCAAAGGGAGUAAAAGCCAAGUGAUGGAAUAUACAUAAAGCUGGACGAGGUCUAUAAACUUGGCUUCUGCAUUUCUGCCAGGGGCAUCUGUUGAGGUCAAGGAGACUGGCUAAUGACUGGGAAAAAAAACCUGUGAAGAGUGGACUUCAGAAGAAGGAGGUAUAAUAAGGCUGUUCUCCCCUGAAACCUGGGAAGGCUCACUGCAAACCUUUCCCAGAAAUGAAGGCUCAAAAGAAAUACGCCAAAUGGAAACUUUCAGGGGUACCAGUGCUACCCUUUCAGUUCAUACAGCAGCCUCUUCAUCCAACAGAAGACAAAGAGUAGUUUUUGCGGAAGGACAAACUCAAGCCACCUUAAAGAAGAGGGUAGAUCCCUGUGGCAGGAGGGACCUGGGAGAUGUAAAGCUUCCUCUGGUUUCCAGUUACUGUGGGGACACUUAGGGGUGUAUCUCAGGACAGGAAGGAGAAAAUAUUUCCUUAGGAUAUGAAGGUGCUACUUGAGAGAUGCGCUGAGGAGAGAAAUACAAGUAUCUUAUUAACACUAAUUUGUAAUGGUGUGCGGGGUGGACACACUUAAAAGGAAAUUAAACUUCAUGGUGAUGAGGUGUGUCUGAUUCAGACACUUUAGGAGAUGAAUGGUUGCAAGCUGCAUUGGAACUCUCCCCACCCCACACCCCAGCCUCAGGCGCUAGGGCCAGAACUCACCCUGCUUCCCUGAAGAGGGAACAGGAAGGAGGACACCAGCUGCGGGAAGAGCUCACAGGAAGUGUGUGUUGAGAAUGGGGAGAUGGAAGACCAUGGGAAAGAAGAGGGUCCAUAGGAACCUCCCCUGGUCUGGGGUGCUGGCACUUGGGGUCCUCACAGGGAAGAGAGGAGCCUUGUGGCUGCAGAGGGACUCUGUCCCUGAGGACACCCUCAGGGGGUUCACACAACUUGAAAGUGAAAGUGUUAGUCACUCAGUCGUGUCCCAUGGACUCUAGCCCACCAGGCUACUCUGUCCUUGGGAUUCUCCAGGCAGGAAUGCUGGAGUGGGUUGCCAUUUCCUUCUCCAGGGGAUCUUCCCAGUCUAGGACUUGAACUCGGUACUCCUGCAUUUCAGGCAGAUUAAGAACUUCCACCUUCAUGGGGAGCUGGUGGGAAGGAGUGACACGGUCCUAAGGAGACAUGGGGAGAAGCCCCUCACUGUGGAAUGUGGAUGGUGAGCACCCAGCCUCAGAAAUGCUGAAAUCAACUUGCCUGUGUCUUUGCACAGAGGUGCUAGAGAGGCACCACAAACAGCAAAAGUGGAGGCCCACACAGAGCAGAGCUCAAAAAUCCAAAAGUGCCAAAGACAGACUGGUAGGACCUCAGAAGCUCAUUUGGGAAAAUGAGGUGGACUUCCUAGAGAACAUUCUAGUUUUUCACAAUUAGAGCAAUUUUAAAAAGUGGCUGAGAAAGAUGUGUCCCUCUCACAUAAACUAGAGAUCAGCAAAGUUUUCCUGUGACAGGCCAGGUAGCAAUAUUUUUGGCUUUGUGGGCCAUGUGGUCUCUGCUGAAGUUCUUUGUAUUAACGUCUGAAAGAAGCCGCAGAUAAUACAUGAGUGAGUGGGUGUGACUGUGUUCCAAAAAAAUUUCUUUACCAUAUAGGGAGCUGCCUGGGUUUGGUCCACAGGUCAUACAGGUCACAGUUUGCUAAUCGGUGAUGUACGUAAACAUCUAGAACAUUAGAUCUUUUUUUUUUUUUUCUGGUUUCAGAAAUUAAUUUAAGAAGCCUGUGUGUGGCACUCUGUUAUACUGACUUCAGAUUUACCUUAAGCAUUUGUUUCUGAGCUAACAUGAGCGUAUGGACUCCAGUCUCCUCACUGGGUUGUGAGGAUCUUACCGAGAUGCGUGAUCUACAGGGCACAUCACACAUGAGGUGUUUUGUUUGCAAAUUCACUUCUUCGUGUGGUGAAGCUAUAUUUGAAGCAUACUCACAUAUAACAUGGAGAAGGCAAUGGCAACCCACUCCAGUACUCUUGCCUGGAAAAUCCCAUGGACGGAGGGGCCUGGUGGGCUGCAGUCCAUGGGGUAGCUAGG